RNAcentral lists this ribosomal RNA (1826 nucleotides) under Campylobacterales bacterium. RNAcentral's name for it is "partial 23S ribosomal RNA". It matches the Rfam family "Bacterial large subunit ribosomal RNA", at positions 1 to 1894 of the family's 2925-position model. Lineage: Bacteria; Pseudomonadati; Campylobacterota; Epsilonproteobacteria; Campylobacterales. The record is from RNAcentral.
AGUUAAGUGACUAAGCGUGCACGGUGGAUGCCUAGGCGGUAGAAGGCGAUGAAGGACGUGAAAGCCUGCGAUAAGCUCCGGUGAGGUGGCAAAUAACCUUUGACCCGGAGAUUUCCGAAUGGGAAAACCCAUCCUAUAUGGAUAUCCUCUUAUGAGGAAGCUAACCCGGAGAACUGAAACAUCUAAGUACCCGGAGGAAAAGAAAUCAACCGAGAUUCCCCUAGUAGUGGCGAGCGAACGGGGACCAGCCCUUAAGCAUUUAUAAGAUUAGUAGAACAGUCUGGAAAGUCUGACGAUACAGGGUGAUAGUCCCGUAUACGAAAAUCUUUUAAGUGUGAAAACGAGUAAGACGGGACACGUGAAAUCCUGUUUGAAGAUGGGGGGACCACCCUCCAAGGCUAAAUACUCUCUACCGACCGAUAGUGAACCAGUACCGUGAGGGAAAGGCGAAAAGAACCCCGGAAGGGGAGUGAAAUAGAACCUGAAACCGUGUACGUACAAGCAGUGGGAGCACCUUCGUGGUGUGACUGCGUACCUUUUGUAUAAUGGGUCAGCGACUUACUGUAUGUUGCGAGGUUAACCGAAUAGGGGAGCCGUAGGGAAACCGAGUCUUAAAUGGGCGACUAGUAGCAUGCAGUAGACCCGAAACCGGGCGAUCUAUCCAUGGCCAGGUUGAAGGUGCCGUAACAGGUACUGGAGGACCGAACCCACAAAUGUUGAAAAAUUUGGGGAUGAGCUGUGGAUCGGAGUGAAAGGCUAAUCAAGCUCGGAGAUAGCUGGUUCUCCUCGAAAACUAUUUAGGUAGUGCCUCAUGUCUCACUCUUGGGGGUAGAGCACUGUUAUGGUCUAGCGGUCCGUCAAGGAUUAGCAGCCCAUUGCAAACUCCGAAUACCAAGAAGUGCAAUCAUGGGAGACAGACGGCGGGUGCUAACGUCCGUCGUCAAGAGGGAAACAACCCAGACCGCCAGCUAAGGUCCCUAAACACUGCUCAGUGGGAAAGGAUGUGGGAAGGCUCAGACAGUCAGGAGGUUGGCUUAGAAGCAGCCACCCUUUAAAGAAAGCGUAAUAGCUCACUGAUCGAGUCGGCCUGCGCCGAAGAUUUAACGGGGCUAAGCAGUGUACCGAAGCUGCGGAUGCACAUAGUGCAUGGUAGAGGAGCGUCGUGUAAGCCUGUGAAGGUGAACUGGAAAGUUUGCUGGAGGUAUCACGAGUGCGAAUGCUGACAUGAGUAGCGAUAAAGGGAGUGAAAAGCUCCCUCGCCGAAAGACCAAGGGUUCCUACGCAACGUUAAUCGACGUAGGGUUAGUCGACCCCUAAGGCGAGGCCGAAAGGCGUAGUCGAUGGGAAACAGGUUAAUAUUCCUGUACUUUUUAUUACUGCGAUGGAGGGACGGAGAAGGCUAGGUCAGCUUGCCGUUGGUUGUGCAAGUUUAAGGUCGUAGGCAGAGUGUUUAGGCAAAUCCGGACACUCAAUGCUGAGAACUGAUGACGAGUCCAUUAGGACGAAGUGAUUGAUGCCAUGCUUCCAAGAAAAGCUUCUAAGCUUCAGGUAAUAAAGAAUCGUACCCCAAACCGACACAGGUGGUCAGGAUGAGUAUUCCAAGGCGCUUGAGAGAACUCGGGUGAAGGAACUAGGCAAAAUGGUACCGUAACUUCGGGAGAAGGUACGCCCCUUAAUGUGAAGGACUUGCUCCGUAAGCAUCUGGGGGUUGCAAUAAAAUGGUGGCUGCAACUGUUUACUAAAAACAUAGCACUCUGCAAAAUCGAAAGAUGACGUAUAGGGUGUGACGCCUGCCCGGUGCCGGAAGGUUAAUUGAUGGGGUUAGC